GUUUGGCACGUUGACAGCUCAGCGGGCUGGUGAGGCCAGAAGGUGAGGGUCCCAGUGAGGGACCUGCCAGCCAGUCCUAUAUUCCUUGGGUGGACAGGUGAGGAGGGACCACCCCGGAGAAGAGUACACGUAGGCAGUUGGCUGAGCAUCAGAGAGUUCUGCCAGGGGCUUCGACCUGCGGAGGGACUGGCUUCGCGUGACCACAAACACUGCCGGAGGCCAAGCCCUCUCCCAAGAGCCUCAGGUAAAUGAUCUCAUUGGCACAGACAAGGAGACUGAAUCUCAGAGAGCUUAAGCGACUUGCCCAAGUUUGAUUCAGGAUAGAUGGAGCCGGGAUUUGAGAGCCUAUUUUAUCAGCCGUUGGUCUCCUGUUGGCGCUGAGGAAACAGAAGCUCACGGAAAUGAAUGAAUGCGCUCAAAAUCACCUGGACAGCAGACAGCGAGGGCAGGAUCUACCCAAGGCGGCCGACUCAGAGCUUCUGGCUCAGACCCGCACCCCAGCCCCUGAGCUUCCGGGGUGCAGCACCUAUGGACUCAGUUCAUUCUCCCAAUAAGUGGUGUUUCGGGGUGCUGCGGAGCGUGGGGGCUGGAGGUACUAUAAUCUUCCAUCUUCCUGAGGAAACUGAGGCUCCAACAAGAAAAGGGACCCCCCUGAGUUUGCAGAGUUAGGCCAUGGUGGUGAACCUCAUCUGCUGGAAUUCCUGAAGGCUUUGCUAAGCUUUGCUGCCAGCUUCCCAUCCCCCACCUCCCCAC
This is a non-coding RNA of Odocoileus virginianus texanus, 753 nucleotides long. Lineage: Eukaryota; Metazoa; Chordata; Mammalia; Artiodactyla; Cervidae. The record is from RefSeq and is a predicted model, not a curated record.